This 375-nucleotide ribosomal RNA is filed under the name uncultured bacterium. RNAcentral's name for it is "bacterial SSU rRNA". It matches the Rfam family "Bacterial small subunit ribosomal RNA", at positions 486 to 859 of the family's 1533-position model. The record is from RNAcentral.
GGAAGAGGUGGCUAACUCCGUGCCAGCAGCCGCGGUAAUACGGAGACCUCGAGCGUUACUCGGAUUUACUGGGCGUAAAGGGUGAGCAGGCGGCCAAGUGUGUCAGGUGUGAAAUCCCGGGGCUUAACCCCGGAACUGCGCCUGAAACUACUUGGCUAGAGUCUCGGAGAGGACAGUGGAAUUCUAGGUGUAGCGGUGAAAUGCGUAGAUAUCUAGAGGAACACCAGUGGCGAAGGCGACUGUCUGGACGAGUACUGACGCUCAAUCACGAAAGCGUGGGUAGCGAAAGGGAUUAGAUACCCCUGUAGUCCACGCCGUAAACGUUGUGCACUAAGUUUCGGAGGAUUCGACCCCUUCGGAGCUCAAGCUAACGCG